CCUGGUGUUCAUGGCGCAGUGGAACCACACCGAUCCAUCUCGAACUCGGAGGUGAAACGCUGCUGCGGCGACGAUAGUUGGGGGGUGGCCCCCCGCGAAAAUAGCUCAAUGCCAGGU
Molecule: non-coding RNA, 117 nt
Organism: Synechococcus sp.
Lineage: Bacteria; Bacillati; Cyanobacteriota; Cyanophyceae; Synechococcales; Synechococcaceae
Source: Rfam